CACAGGAGUAUGGCUGAUGUGUUUGAAGUCAGGUGCAAACUAUGAAGGAGCAAACGAGCUAAUGGCUACAGUGAAAACAUUUAAAACCUCAUUUAACCUGACCAUUUUUCUCUUAUCAAAGACAUGGAGAGAUUCCAGAAGCAAUUCACUGAAGAAAAUUACCCCAUCCAGAAGAAAUACCCUAGGAUUUGACAAGUAUCAUCAGAUGAGGACAUUUCUAGACACUGUUUUGGAGGUAGACAUUAACUACCUGAAAUGAGCCCCAAAGCUCCUGCUGUCUCAAAGCCACAAGUGCUGCUGGCUCUUUUCUUCCAUGACCAACACUUUGCUCCACUGCCUGAUGCUUUAAAUGUACUAGGGAAUGCAGGCAUGGUGCUAACAUCACAACUGCUGUUCGUGUACAGGCUCACUGCCCAGUCAAGACAUACCUAUCCUUCUCCAGGGACAACAAUCCACUGCAAACCAUCUUCAGAGAAGUAUUCUUUUCAUCUGCUUCUUUUUUCACCCUCCUAGGAUUUCAAGUAAAUCCACAGGUAUUUCACGAUGCUGGCUUCCAGAGAACACAAGUAUUUCCCCAGAUAAUUAUCCCUUGGAAACUUCUGCACUAACUCCUUUUUAAAACAAAACAGGCAGAGUGGCAAGACUAUCAAGAGAAAGAAAGAUCAGAAGUGUUACAAGCUCAACAGCAAGGAACUAACAAAAUCAUGCAGGGCAAGAAUUGAGGCUCCCAAAUAAACCACUCACCAGAGCCGUAGCUGCUUUGUCUUUGUGGGUCAUGUAAAUCUGAAAUGUUUGGGUUAUAAUGGACAUCAUGCACCUCAACAGCUCGAUGCAUACCUUGUAGGGUAGAUACUAAGUUUGCUGCACACACACCGGAGCAGGAGAGAAGAUCUGCCUUUGCACAGGGCACACAGGAAAAUAUUCUGGACACUGGCAGCCCAGCUAGCUACGUGCAUUUGCCUAUAUAGUGGGGUCUAAAAUAGAAUAAUAAUUAUUAUUGUAAUUGCUCUACUAUAUUAACUUAUAAUACUAUUUAUCUUAAUCAUUUAUGUUAUAAAUUGGUUUUGCCUUCUGGGCAUAGGUCUGGGAGUCCCAGAGAAAUGUGUGAAAUUCUCAAGGUCUGCUUAGAUAAGCAAGAGAGAAUUACAUAGCUGAGGAAAUGUGGUCAGAAGCCAGGUUGGUUAAGAGAUUGGUAACUUCCUCCUUGUGCCCGCUGCCCCAGCAGUGACACCGGGUCUGACUGGAAGGGAAAGGACUCUUUCCCACUGCUCGCUGAAUGGGCAGGAGUGCCGUGACACGACAAAUCGACUUUCACUUCCUUCAACAAACAAGUCAAAUCCCAGUAUGCAUAAAAACAACCCCGUACCUGGCAGGGGUUCUCUUCUCCCCUGCAGCUGGUGUUGCAGUUGGUGGUGGUGUUGCUUACAAAGAUGAGAUAAAAAUACAUCAGCCUUGCUGCAGGAAGCGCGUUGGCACUGUCUCAGCUUCAGACCAUGGCCGGAGCUCAUAGGGUCAGGGCAAGUCAUUCAGCUCUCCCUCUCAGGAGCAAAACAGCAACCAGCAGGCAGCCAAGACCAUCAGUCAUCCCACAGGAGUGAGCACCCAGCCCUGGACUCUCCCAGAGGUGGGAUUAAAUUUCUCCCUGCUGCAGGGAGCGGGUAAAAGGUCCUGAGAUGAACUCUCCAGCUUGCUCCUCGCUUCAGCUCAUUAACUUACUUCAUUCUGCAUUCGAUGCUCAAUCUGGAGCUUGCACGUGCAAGAGAAAGUGAUGGAUAAGCCCGGAGCACAGGACCAGUUUCCUCUAUGGUGUUUAAAACAGAUCCCAUGAACAUGGAAGUAGGACUGGGUUCCUUGGAUGUUCUCUGAUUUGAAUGUGAAGUUAAGGGAAGAGUAACCUGCUGGUCCACAUUGGUGCUGUUCUACUUAAGUCAAGGAAGAACCUGGUAUUUUAAUUCCAGUCAUGUCUUCCAGCCUCUUAACCUUCUUAAUGGCCCUUUACUAACA
Long non-coding RNA from Anas platyrhynchos (mallard), 2004 nucleotides. RefSeq lists it as uncharacterized. NCBI's taxonomy places the organism in Eukaryota, Metazoa, Chordata, Aves, Anseriformes, Anatidae. The record is from RefSeq and is a predicted model, not a curated record.